Molecule: long non-coding RNA, 910 nt
Organism: Vidua chalybeata
Lineage: Eukaryota; Metazoa; Chordata; Aves; Passeriformes; Viduidae
Exons: 2
Source: RefSeq, a predicted model, not a curated record
AGGGACACGAGUUGCAUGCAGGAGCAGAGAGCAAGGCAAAGCCACCUCUCCACAAAGCACACCUGCACAGAUGCCAGUGCAGUGUGCCAGGACUUCCCCGUCCCCCUUAAUGAGCCUGCAAGACAAGCACAGGCCCAGGAGCCAUGAGGGUACUGGCAAGUUCCUGCAGCUGCAAAGGUGCUGACCCCCACCCCGAGGGCACCUGCUGUGCCCCAGCUCCCCCAGACCCAGGAGCAGGUGCUGGGCUGCUGCACCUCCAGGCAAGGCCAGUGCUGACCCACCCCUGACAUUGUGUUUUGUGACUUUGUUUUUGUAUCAAGCUUAAACAGCGCAGCAGGCUUUGCCAUUGCUCCCACGGGAUUAAUGUCACCACACUGCAGCAAGGCCAGGAGUGCUCCCCUGAGAACUGAGGGCCAGCUGGCUCUGCCCCAGGCUGUGGGCACUGCCUGCUGUGUGCAGUCAGUCACACUGGCUCAGCAACACACUCCUAAGAAAAGCAUCCCCUGUCACCCUACAAUCCACAGGGCCUCAACCCAUGCAAAAACCUCUUAUUUUUUUUCAUAGAAUUCAGGUGUGGUCCUGACUGCCCCAGGAAACUGCAAAGCCAUUCAGAAACAGGAGCCAGUUGAGGCCUGAAAUGCAGCCAGGCCGGGGAAUAUCUUGCUGAGCAAAUUCCAAGCAGUGUUGGAGGCGGCUCACACCUCCAGACAUGAACAGAAAUUUAAUUGUCUUCAUUAUGUGCCUUACAGGGAACCGACCUUUGUUCCACACCUCCCUGAGCCCUGCAGGCUGCCUUCUAUUUUAAGACUGGACUUGUCAUACCCAAUUCUCUUCAGCAUGACGUUUUCUGCUUGCUGAGAAGAUGCAGUUUAUUAAAAAUUGGGUCAUUUCUAUUUGGCAGUCAAAUGAA